RNAcentral lists this small nuclear RNA (137 nucleotides) under Conidiobolus coronatus NRRL 28638. RNAcentral's name for it is "U4 spliceosomal RNA". It matches the Rfam family "U4 spliceosomal RNA". From Rfam's summary of the family: U4 small nuclear RNA (U4 snRNA) is a component of the major U2-dependent spliceosome. Lineage: Eukaryota; Fungi; Entomophthoromycota; Entomophthoromycetes; Entomophthorales; Conidiobolaceae. The record is from Rfam by way of RNAcentral.
AUCCUUGUGCUAGGGUAUAUCCUCAUCUGUGAAGUAUCUACUGAGAUAGGAUUAUUGCUGGUUGAAAACUAAACCCAAUACCCCACGAUAAUUAAUUCCUAGUGAAUUAAUGUCGUAAUUUUUGCAAUCCUUUAGGG